This is an RNA transcript of Triticum dicoccoides, 1095 nucleotides long. RefSeq lists it as uncharacterized. Lineage: Eukaryota; Viridiplantae; Streptophyta; Magnoliopsida; Poales; Poaceae. The record is from RefSeq and is a predicted model, not a curated record. The transcript is spliced from 2 exons.
GCCUCACUUUGCAUCGCACACGACCACACUCGCUACUUAAACAGCUACGCAGUCCACAACACCAGUGGCCGGCAGCCUCCAACACCACCCUUGGAGUGUAGCACGUCGCUCGCGUAGGGAAAAGGAAGCACCUCCCACAUCCGACGAGUGACGGUUUGAUCCAUGGAGUCCCCGCAAAAGAAGGCUCCUGCAUCCAUGGACGGCAGCAAGGCGCCUCAUCUGCUGCCGGUGACCCUGUCCCUGGCCAAGAAGACGCCUCGUCCUGAUCUUGUCCGAGGAGUCAGUUCAUGGGCGCUCCUCACCGCCUGCCACAUCGCGCUCUCCUUGGCCAUCGCACCGUAAUAGCCUACGCACUCUACCACUUCCACGUCCGUUGCAGCCAGGUACGCCCGAUUCCCCUUGCCCUACCCCUUGGCUGCUGCCCUUCUCCAUGCCUUCUCAAUUUCCACUCCUCCACAGUCCUCCUUCUUUCUGUGCUGCGACCAGCUUACGGACGCGGAGGAAGCCAUGGUGAACGCCCUAGGGAUCGGGCUGCUGUGCUGCCUCGUGCUCCAGGCGGCCGCGGCGGUGCUGGCCCUGCGGCUCCCGUGCCGCCGCCGUCGCCGCGCCCUCGCCUACCUCACGCUCGUGCUCACUAUCGUCGGCCACUUCAUCAUGGCCGCCAUAGCCCAUAUCCUCCUCGUUGCCGACCCAGGAGACCUCUUCUUCCGGAUCUGCUCCACCGGGGGCCUCUUCAUCUACGCAGCGGGAGACAUCAUCAGCUUCUUGGCCCUCCUCCUCGGCAGCGGUGAGGAGUAGGACUGAGAAGCAGGGGUACGUAGGCAGCGUCGCAGCGAUCAUGUCCAUGGAUCAGCUGGUGAGGUACUAAUGAGGGACUGAUAAAUAAUGAGUAGGAGUAUGCAUUAUGCUAGCUGCCACAAUUGACCGAGUGCCGUAUGCGUGAAUCUACCAGUGUACUCGACUGUUAAUUGGAUAGAUCGGAGAUGCUAGUACGUAUUUGUGUAAUGUGUUACGUACCCUGAAUUGUGCCCGUCUUUGAUGCAGUAGUAUUCCACCUUUCCUCUGUAGUAUGAUCAGACAUCAUUUAUAUGCUUA